CGCCCGAAGUCAGUGACCUAACCGCAAGGGAGGAGCUGCCGAAGGCGGGACCGAUGACUGGGGUGAAGUCGUAACAAGGUAGCCGUAUCGGAAGGUGCGGCUGGAUCACCUCCUUUCUAAGGAA
RNAcentral lists this ribosomal RNA (124 nucleotides) under Blautia intestinalis. RNAcentral describes it as "partial 16S ribosomal RNA". It matches the Rfam family "Bacterial small subunit ribosomal RNA", at positions 1418 to 1533 of the family's 1533-position model. Lineage: Bacteria; Bacillati; Bacillota; Clostridia; Lachnospirales; Lachnospiraceae. The record is from RNAcentral.